Molecule: ribosomal RNA, 174 nt
Filed under: Escherichia coli
Lineage: Bacteria; Pseudomonadati; Pseudomonadota; Gammaproteobacteria; Enterobacterales; Enterobacteriaceae
Also listed under: 2 other names
Description: partial 23S ribosomal RNA
Rfam family: Bacterial large subunit ribosomal RNA
Source: RNAcentral
AAAGCAUCUAAGCACGAAACUUGCCCCGAGAUGAGUUCUCCCUGACUCCUUGAGAGUCCUGAAGGAACGUUGAAGACGACGACGUUGAUAGGCCGGGUGUGUAAGCGCAGCGAUGCGUUGAGCUAACCGGUACUAAUGAACCGUGAGGCUUAACCUUACAACGCCGAAGCUGUU